CACUUCAUCUUCUCUACUCUACGAAACUCAGCCCCUGCAUAUGGUUUUCUAGUUUGCACGUUGGUUGCUAGUUCAUCAGGAUAUGAAUAUGGAAAAUAAUUGCAUGGAAGAUGGAGAAGGUGAAACAAGCACUGGCUUGAACAUUUCAGAAGGUGAAAGCAACAAAAAGUCAUCCCAAGCUAUGAAAGGCACAAUCACCAUUGGAAGGAGAAUUUGGGUUGUUUAGCUCUCAAUUCACAGGUACCGGGGCCAAAAGUUCUAG
Molecule: long non-coding RNA, 262 nt
Organism: Prunus persica (peach)
Lineage: Eukaryota; Viridiplantae; Streptophyta; Magnoliopsida; Rosales; Rosaceae
Exons: 3
Source: RefSeq, a predicted model, not a curated record